Long non-coding RNA from Labeo rohita (rohu), 1053 nucleotides. RefSeq lists it as uncharacterized. The record is from RefSeq and is a predicted model, not a curated record. Lineage: Eukaryota; Metazoa; Chordata; Actinopteri; Cypriniformes; Cyprinidae. The transcript is spliced from 3 exons.
GGCAAUAUAUUAUUAUCACAUAUAUCCAUCUUCUGGAUAUAUGUAGAUAUAUGUUUAUAACAUAUAUGAAUUUCCCAUAGUACAAUUUGUAUAUAAACAUAUAUUGAAAGUAUAUAUAUAGUUAACUUUUAUAUGGUAUUGCAUGUUAUGACCAUAUAUGUCUACAAUAUAUAUUAAAAUAGUAUAUUGUAUUAUAUGAUAUGACCAUAUAUGUUAACAAUAUAUAUCAAAAUUAUAUAUGGUACUCUAUUUUUUGACCAUUUGUUACCAAUGUAUAUAUUGAAUUUAUGCAAGUUUAUUAGCCAUAUAUGCCUAAAAGAUACUGCUUAUUGUAAAUCAUAUAACAAAAUUAAUUUUUGCUUAACUUUAUUAAUUGUUUAAAUUCAGUUUUCUGGGGGAAAAGUAGAGAUGAAUAUAUAACCUGUUAAAAAAUGCCAAUGUACUAAAAGUUACUUGUAGUAAAAGGAAUGUAUUAUAGAGUUAUUGAGGGGGAAAAACACUUCAUGUAACUGUUUGUCCAUAUGUGCUCUCAUCAUCAAUGAACUAAAACGCAUUUCAUUAAAAUACAUGAGCGAUUUGUUUGAACGUCACAAUAGCGCUUUUGCGCAUGCGCCAAAAUUUAAACACACCCGCGCUAACGGCAGAGUCUGAGCAAUGGCUGCGGCUAAACAAACAGUCAUCUGCGGUAAGAUGUUUUUCUUAGCAAGUGGAAGGAUAACAAAUGUGUCAGUACCUUCACAUAAUAAACGACAAUGAUUUUAUAGACGGGCACGAAGACAGACAGACAUCACUGAGUGGAGUGGAUGAAACGCCUUUGAAUGUGGCAGCGGUGCAGGUAAUGAGUCCCGAAAUUCUCAGAAAAUAGAAAUGGAGGCCGAACCUGCAGAUGUGGAUGGCAGUGAUGUGAAUGAUGGAGCAUCUACACAGAAAAGAUGCUGGAAUCCAGAAAUUUCUUCACCUGGGGCCUAUUGGGGAUGGCAGUAAACCAAAAACUAACCAAGCUGUGGGAAUACAAACCUGUAGACCUUUAGCUGAACCACUACAAUUGAUGUU